RNAcentral lists this transfer RNA (65 nucleotides) under Diaphanoeca grandis. Lineage: Eukaryota; Choanoflagellata; Acanthoecida; Stephanoecidae. The record is from RNAcentral.
AUCGAAUCGAUCUGAAGAUCCUUCGUACGCUGCAGGAUAACGCCCGAAUCUCCUAUGUCGAUCUG